GACUGUGUAGCUCAGUGGUUAGAGCAUCAUAUGGAGUACAUAUCCAAGAGGUCCCAGGUUCAAUUCCUGGUAUGGUCA
Molecule: transfer RNA, 78 nt
Organism: Termitomyces sp. J132
Lineage: Eukaryota; Fungi; Basidiomycota; Agaricomycetes; Agaricales; Lyophyllaceae
Rfam family: tRNA
About the family: Transfer RNA (tRNA) molecules are approximately 80 nucleotides in length.
Source: Rfam